AAUACAUGAUUCCUUANUACGGCGAGUGAAGNGGGAAAAGCUCAAAUUUUAAAUCUGCCAGGUUGUACCUGUCAGAGUUGUAUUUUGAAGAAGUGUUUUCUNGUGUCUCGGUUUGGUCCAAGUCCUUUGGGAUAAGGUAUCAUGGAGGGUGAGAAUCCCGUCCGGCCAACUUUUUGACGCUUUACGAUACACUUUCAAAGAGUCGAGUUGUUUGGGAUUGCAGCUCAAAAUGGGAGGUAAAUUUCUCCUAAGGCUAAAUAUUGGCGAGAGACCGAUAGCGAACAAGUACCGUGAGGGAAAGAUGAAAAGAACUUUGAAAAGAGAGUAAAAUAGUACGUGAAAUUGUUGAAAGGGAAACGAUUGAAGUCAGUCGUACCGGCGAUAAAUCAGCUCCUCGAGUGCGGACUUGUGAGCGUGCGUGAGCUUUAAAACCUCGCUGUUUGCAAUGUUUGUACUUUUUGGGUGUACUUUUUCGUAUGGUAGGCCAACGUCAGUUUCGAUUACCAUAAAAUGACCGGAGGAAUGUAGCUUCGAUCUCGUAUUGAAGUGUUAUAGCCACUGGUAGAUGUGGUGACUGAAACUGAGGAUUGCAACGAAUACCCUUUGGGCUAUCCGUCUGAUCUCUGAAAGUUGCUUAGGUGCCGAAAGCGUGCUUACGGUUAUUUAAGUUGACGGUCAAUAGGUUAGAACGUGAUUACAUUCGUUAAGGAUGUUGACGUA
Molecule: ribosomal RNA, 720 nt
Filed under: uncultured fungus
Lineage: Eukaryota; Fungi
Description: LSU rRNA
Rfam family: Eukaryotic large subunit ribosomal RNA
Source: RNAcentral